RNAcentral lists this ribosomal RNA (365 nucleotides) under Rhipicephalus haemaphysaloides. RNAcentral's name for it is "partial 16S ribosomal RNA". Lineage: Eukaryota; Metazoa; Arthropoda; Arachnida; Ixodida; Ixodidae. The record is from RNAcentral.
GUAUUUUGACUAUACAAAGGUAUUGAAAUAAGAUUUUAAUUGAAUGCUAAGAGAAUGGAAUUACAGAAAAUAGCUUUUUUUAAAUUAAAAAUUGAAAUUUUUUUAAUUUGUGCAGAAACAAUUAUUAAUAUUAAGGACAAGAAGACCCUAUGAAUUUAUAAAUUUAUUUUAUAAUAAAUAAUAUAUAAUAAAUUUUGGUUGGGGCGACAAAAAAAAAUAAAAAACUUUUUUUUAAUAAAAUGAUCCAUUAUUAAUGAUUAUAUGAAAAAUACUCUAGGGAUAACAGCGUUAUAUUUUUUGAUAGCUCAUAUUGACAAAAAAGUUUGCGACCUCGAUGUUGGAUUAGGAUGCUUUUUUAAUGAAGA